AGUUUCCAUGUAAGUUUUAAACAGGGUCCUCAGACAGUGAGAGGGUGAGGACAGAAAACCAGGAAAAUCUGCAUUUCAGCAAACAGAGGAAUUCUAAAGCAGUCUGGAUGUGUCCUUUAUCCACAUUGUUGCUCCUCAUGCCGUGCUUCGGAGAAUAUCAGCUAUACAGAGACCCCUGCCUCAUUCAGAGCACAGAAUGGAAGCAGAAGGGGAAGAAUUAAGAUUGUACAGGAAUGAAACUGUUGACCUUAAAAAUCUUCUAUAUUGUUUUUAAAUG
Molecule: long non-coding RNA, 277 nt
Organism: Chelonoidis abingdonii (Abingdon island giant tortoise)
Lineage: Eukaryota; Metazoa; Chordata; Testudines; Testudinidae
Source: RefSeq, a predicted model, not a curated record